Molecule: ribosomal RNA, 433 nt
Filed under: uncultured bacterium
Lineage: Bacteria
Description: bacterial SSU rRNA
Rfam family: Bacterial small subunit ribosomal RNA
Source: RNAcentral
GAACGCGAAGAACCUUACCAGGUCUUGACAUCCCUCUGACCGCUCUAGAGAUAGAGUUUUCCUUCGGGACAGAGGUGACAGGUGGUGCAUGGUUGUCGUCAGCUCGUGUCGUGAGAUGUUGGGUUAAGUCCCGCAACGAGCGCAACCCCUAUUGUUAGUUGCCAUCAUUUAGUUGGGCACUCUAGCGAGACUGCCGGUAAUAAACCGGAGGAAGGUGGGGAUGACGUCAAAUCAUCAUGCCCCUUAUGACCUGGGCUACACACGUGCUACAAUGGCUGGUACAACGAGUCGCAAGUCGGUGACGGCAAGCUAAUCUCUUAAAGCCAGUCUCAGUUCGGAUUGUAGGCUGCAACUCGCCUACAUGAAGUCGGAAUCGCUAGUAAUCGCGGAUCAGCACGCCGCGGUGAAUACGUUCCCGGGUCUUGUACACACC